RNAcentral lists this ribosomal RNA (492 nucleotides) under uncultured bacterium. RNAcentral's name for it is "partial 16S ribosomal RNA". It matches the Rfam family "Bacterial small subunit ribosomal RNA", at positions 29 to 507 of the family's 1533-position model. The record is from RNAcentral.
AGUGAACGCUGGCGGUAGGCCUAACACAUGCAAGUCGAACGGCAGCACAGUAAGAGCUUGCUCUUACGGGUGGCGAGUGGCGGGCGGGUGAGGAAUACAUCGGAAUCUACUUUUUCGUGGGGGAUAACGUAGGGAAACUUACGCUAAUACCGCAUACGACCUACGGGUGAAAGCAGGGGAUCUUCGGACCUUGCGCGAUUGAAUGAGCCGAUGUCGGAUUAGCUAGUUGGCGGGGUAAAGGCCCACCAAGGCGACGAUCCGUAGCUGGUCUGAGAGGAUGAUCAGCCACACUGGAACUGAGACACGGUCCAGACUCCUACGGGAGGCAGCAGUGGGGAAUAUUGGACAAUGGGCGCAAGCCUGAUCCAGCCAUACCGCGUGGGUGAAGAAGGCCUUCGGGUUGUAAAGCCCUUUUGUUGGGAAAGAAAAGCGGCAGGUUAAUACCCCGCUGUUCUGACGGUACCCAAAGAAUAAGCACCGGCUAACUUCGUG